UACGAAGGGGGCUAGCGUUGCUCGGAAUCACUGGGCGUAAAGGGUGCGUAGGCGGGUCUUUAAGUCAGGGGGGAAAUCCUGGAGCUCAACGCCAGAACUGCCUUUGAUACUGAGGAUCUUGAGUUCGGGAGAGGUGAGUGGAACUGCGAGUGUAGAGGUGAAAUUCGUAGAUAUUGGGAAGAACACCGGUGGCGAAGGCGGCUCACUGGCUCGUAACUGACGCUCAUGCACGACAGCGUGGGGAUCAAACAGG
RNAcentral lists this ribosomal RNA (253 nucleotides) under uncultured bacterium. RNAcentral's name for it is "partial 16S ribosomal RNA". It matches the Rfam family "Bacterial small subunit ribosomal RNA", at positions 524 to 776 of the family's 1533-position model. The record is from RNAcentral.